Molecule: ribosomal RNA, 468 nt
Filed under: uncultured bacterium
Lineage: Bacteria
Description: partial 16S ribosomal RNA
Rfam family: Bacterial small subunit ribosomal RNA
Source: RNAcentral
GACGAACGCUGGCGGCGUGCUUAACACAUGCAAGUCGAGCGGAAAGACCCGGCGUUUGUUGGUUUCUCGUUAGGCGAACGGGUGAGUAACACGUGUGUAUCCUGCCCUUGUCUUUGUGGUAACUUUACGGGACUCGGGCUAAUAUCCGAGAGGAUCUCCUGCUGCAUGUUGUUCAUUGGUAAGUUUCGGCGGUGGGGUAUGGUCUCGCUGCUUAUGAGCUUCUUUGUGUGGUAGUGGUGUACCAAGGCUUUGACGGGUAGCCGGCCUGAGAGGGUGGCCGGCCACCAUGGGACUGCGGGACGCACCAGAAGCGUACGGGAGGCAGCAGUCGGGAAUAUUACAGAAUGGGGGGAAGCCUGAUGCAGCAGCGUUGCGUGCGGGAUAACGUCCUUCUGGUGGUAAACAGAUUUCGCCUGUGACGAAGAGUGCGUGACGGUAAUGGGUCAAGAAGCAACGGCUAACUACGUG